Molecule: ribosomal RNA, 433 nt
Filed under: uncultured bacterium
Lineage: Bacteria
Description: partial 16S ribosomal RNA
Rfam family: Bacterial small subunit ribosomal RNA
Source: RNAcentral
AACGAACGCUGGCGGCAUGCCUAACACAUGCAAGUCGAACGAGACCUUCGGGUCUAGUGGCUCACGGGUGCGUAACGCGUGGGAACCUGCCCUUAGGUUCGGAAUAACUCCCCGAAAUGGGUGCUAAUACCGGAUAAUGUCUUCGGACCAAAGAUUUAUCGCCUUUGGAUGGGCCCGCGUUGGAUUAGCUAGUUGGUAGGGUAAAAGCCUACCAAGGCGACGAUCCAUAGCUGGUCUGAGAGGAUGAUCAGCCACACUGGGACUGAGACACGGCCCAGACUCCUACGGGAGGCAGCAGUGGGGAAUAUUGGACAAUGGGCGAAAGCCUGAUCCAGCAAUGCCGCGUGAGUGAUGAAGGCCUUAGGGUUGUAAAGCUCUUUUACCCGGGAUGAUAAUGACAGUACCGGGAGAAUAAGCUCCGGCUAACUCCGUG